This 484-nucleotide ribosomal RNA is filed under the name uncultured bacterium. RNAcentral's name for it is "partial 16S ribosomal RNA". It matches the Rfam family "Bacterial small subunit ribosomal RNA", at positions 30 to 507 of the family's 1533-position model. The record is from RNAcentral.
AUUGGACGCUGGCGGCAGGCCUAACACAUGCAAGUCGAGCGGAUGAAGGGAGCUUGCUCCUGGAUUCAGCGGCGGACGGGUGAGUAAUGCCUAGGAAUCUGCCUGGUAGUGGGGGAUAACGUCCGGAAACGGGCGCUAAUACCGCAUACGUCCUGAGGGAGAAAGUGGGGGAUCUUCGGACCUCACGCUAUCAGAUGAGCCUAGGUCGGAUUAGCUAGUUGGUGGGGUAAGGGCCUACCAAGGCGACGAUCCGUAACUGGUCUGAGAGGAUGAUCUGUCACACUGGAACUGAGACACGGUCCAGACUCCUACGGGAGGCAGCAGUAGGGAAUAUUGGACAAUGGGCGAAAGCCUGAUCCAGCCAUGCCGCGUGUGUGAAGAAGGUCUUCGGAUUGUAAAGCACUUUAAGUUGGGAGGAAGGGCAGUAAGUUAAUACCUUGCUGUUUUGACGUUACCAACAGAAUAAGCACCGGCUAACUUCGUG